This 85-nucleotide transfer RNA is filed under the name Felis catus (domestic cat). It matches the Rfam family "tRNA". Rfam says of the family: Transfer RNA (tRNA) molecules are approximately 80 nucleotides in length. Their secondary structure includes four short double-helical elements and three loops (D, anti-codon, and T loops). Further hydrogen bonds mediate the characteristic L-shaped molecular structure. tRNAs have two regions of fundamental functional importance: the anti-codon, which is responsible for specific mRNA codon recognition, and the 3' end, to which the tRNAs corresponding amino acid is attached (by aminoacyl-tRNA synthetases). tRNAs cope with the degeneracy of the genetic code in two manners: having more than one tRNA (with a specific anti-codon) for a particular amino acid; and 'wobble' base-pairing, i.e. permitting non-standard base-pairing at the 3rd anti-codon position. Lineage: Eukaryota; Metazoa; Chordata; Mammalia; Carnivora; Felidae. The record is from Rfam by way of RNAcentral. RNAcentral also lists the same sequence under 2 other names.
GCCUGGGUGGCUCAGUCGGUUGAGCGUCCGACUUCAGCUCAGGUCAUGAUCUCACAGUUCGUGGGUUCGAGCCCCGCGUCGGGCU